CCCAAUGUUUAUUUAAGUAAUAAAUUAGUAUAAUGUAAACUUUAGCAUAACCAGAUAAUUUUGCUAUAGCUCUCAUAUAAAAUAAAAUUUCCAGCUCACACAAUAAAGUGAGGGUGAUCAAUCACUGAUAAACCAGCUUGCUUCACUGCAAAGCAUUCAGUAAAAGCUAAAUUAUCAAAGAGGUCUGCUGCUGGGCUUACAAAUAAACUCUUGGAACUAAUCCAAAGCCAAAGAAAGGAAGCCAGAAAUGGUAGCCAAAAAACCUAAACAACAAUAAAAUGAUAAGUAUAACUUUCAUAGAAAAGGUCCUGCUAAAACAACAGAUAGUGUCCACCAGCUUCUAGAAUAAUUUUAAUAAGGUUUCUUUUUUUUUAUGUAACACAUGAAUUUAAGUAUAUAAGAUCUAACACAAAGCCCAAAUAUAAAGUACUACUGACAAGUUGUGAAAGCAUCAAAAUGUCAUAAAUACCUAUUAAGCAACUAAGGAUUGAAACAUAUCUUUGCUUCUGG
RNAcentral lists this long non-coding RNA (510 nucleotides) under Bos taurus (domestic cattle). Its description in RNAcentral is "long non-coding RNA NONBTAT004072". The record is from RNAcentral. Lineage: Eukaryota; Metazoa; Chordata; Mammalia; Artiodactyla; Bovidae.